This 247-nucleotide ribosomal RNA is filed under the name uncultured bacterium. RNAcentral's name for it is "partial 16S ribosomal RNA". It matches the Rfam family "Bacterial small subunit ribosomal RNA", at positions 523 to 769 of the family's 1533-position model. The record is from RNAcentral.
AGACGAGGGAUCCUAGCGUUGUUCGGAAUUAUUGGGCGUAAAGCGGAUGUAGGUGGCUAUGUAAGUCAGAUGUGAAAGCCUGGGGCUCAACCCCAGAAGUGCAUUUGAUACUGCGUAGCUUGAGUGUCGGAGAGGUUACUAGAAUUGUUGGUGUAGUGGUGAAAUACGUAGAUAUCAACAGGAAUACCGGAGGCGAAGGCGGGUAACUGGCCGAACACUGACACUGAGAUCCGAAAGCGUGGGGAUC